GGAAAAGGAAGAAGAAGGGAAUCGACCAUAGAGCUUCAUCGGAGCCGGAUCUUGGCAUUUUGAGGCCAGAAUGAUGAUCAGCUGGCUGAGAUCUUCAAUUUGAGAUAGGAUUUGGAAGGAGUGUUGGUAAAGAUCUAGAGUUUUUGAGAGUUCUUGAGCUAAAGGAGUGAAAUUGGGGUUUCAUUAGUGUUUUUGAGAAAAGAGGUUACACUUGUUAUACGCAUACCCACACAUCGGAUUUCCUACGUACCGGGUGCAAGCACCGUGUACUUAGACAAGUUACCCACCUGAAGAUCAAGAGCCAGGUCCCACUGUAGAGUUUCCCUUUGAGGACUGGAAGGUCCCUGAUGAGUUCGAGUAUGGUGCUAAUUGCACAUGUGAGGAUUGUGCUGCAUGGCAACAGUGACUCCAGAUUGAUUCUUUUUUAUUCUUUUGAUGUACCCUUUUGAUGACUUGAUGCUUAAAUUGUUAUAUUUUUGUGUAUAUAUCAUGCAUUCGAGCCCAUAUGUAUAUAACAUAACUCAAUUUGGGUAUCAAGUAUUUGGGGAACAAUUAUUGAAAUUAUUAUGAAAAGGUCUUCCAUUGAAAA
Macadamia integrifolia is the source of this 589-nucleotide long non-coding RNA. RefSeq lists it as uncharacterized. The transcript is spliced from 4 exons. The record is from RefSeq and is a predicted model, not a curated record. Lineage: Eukaryota; Viridiplantae; Streptophyta; Magnoliopsida; Proteales; Proteaceae.